This 29-nucleotide ribosomal RNA is filed under the name Dendrolobium lanceolatum. Its description in RNAcentral is "partial 5.8S ribosomal RNA". Lineage: Eukaryota; Viridiplantae; Streptophyta; Magnoliopsida; Fabales; Fabaceae. The record is from RNAcentral.
GACUCUCGGCAAUGGAUAUCUCRGCUCUU